RNA transcript from Triticum aestivum (bread wheat), 1827 nucleotides. It is a transcript of the gene named lysine-specific demethylase JMJ30, with no coding region annotated. Lineage: Eukaryota; Viridiplantae; Streptophyta; Magnoliopsida; Poales; Poaceae. The record is from RefSeq and is a predicted model, not a curated record. The transcript is spliced from 6 exons.
ACCCACAGGGGCACCCGAAAAUAUCUCCUUCCCUUUCCACUCCUCAUCACCUCCGCUUUUGCGCUUUUCCAAGGGCUCAGCGACUCCGAGAUGGACACCGGCGAGCCGACGGGUACAGCGGCAGCGGCGGCGGGAGGAGAGAAACGGGCGAUGCUGCUGCGGCAGAUCACCGAGGAGGGGGGCUUCGCCUUCGUGGCCUCCGCGGAGAAGGCGGCCGCGGGGGACCUGCGCGCGGCGGAGGCGGCGCGGGAGAUGGCAUGGGAGCAGCUGCACUCGGGGCCGUGGAGCGCGGUGGAGCCUGCGUGGCGGCACGCCUAUGCGCUCGCUUGCCUCCACGUCGCGAGCCUCCGCGCCGGUGACGACCGCCGCGCGGCGCUCCGAGCGCUCGACAUGGGCCUCAUCAUGGGUGGCGACCUCCUCCGCGCAGAGCUCGAAGCAGCUAUUGCGCAAGUCCCUGCCAAUGGAAAACGCGAGGGCGAAGGCGACGGUGCGGGAGACGCCGGCAGAAACGUGGAGAGGUGGAGGGAAGGGCUCAGUAGGAAUCGAGACCUCGGCGAUGCGCUCAAAGUUCUGCCGGUGAAAUCCCUAUCUUGCAAGCGAAUCGAGCGGCGGACAUGCAUUUCUUUGGAGGCAUUUAUACAUGAUUACUUUUUACGUGAGUCCCCUGUUAUACUCAGCGGCUGCAUUGAUCAUUGGCCUGCAAGGACAAAGUGGAAGGACAUAAAAUACCUAGAGAGGAUAGCUGGAGACCGCACUAUUCCUGUCGAGGUUGGAAAAAGUUAUGUUUGUAAUGAGUGGAGGCAGGACCUUAUCACAUUUUCACAGUUUCUUGAGAGAAUGUCGUCACCUGAUUGUUCUGCAAACUUGACGUAUCUAGCUCAGCAUCCAUUGUUUGACCAGAUAAAAGAGCUUCGUGAAGACAUAAUUGUUCCUGAGUACUGUUAUGCUGGCGGUGGGGAACUCCAGUCGCUCAAUGCUUGGUUUGGCCCUCAUGGGACUGUGACACCAUUGCAUCAUGACCCACAUCACAACCUUUUUGCUCAGGUCUUGGGCAGAAAGUAUAUUAGACUCUAUCAUGCUUCCAUCUCCGAGGAUUUGUACCCUCACAUGGAAACUAUGCUAAGCAAUACAAGCCAGGUGCGUGGUCUGUGUCAGAUAACUAUGCAGUGAUUGGAACAGAUGUAUUUCUAGAUCAAUGUAUGGGUGAAAAAUAUUUGUCAGGCAAAGAAAAUAGAACUAGAUCUCUAGCUUCUAGUACAUAACUUUUUUUCUUUUAUCUGCCUUUUGUACUUUUCCGGAAAUUGCGAUGACACAGUUCCAUCAUGCCCAAAUUUGUUCCGAGAUCUGCUGUGAGCAACCUUGAUGCUGAGCAAGUUUGGUAGAUCUUGACAACAUUGAUGUUAAGGAAUUCCCAAGGACAGAAGAUCUUGAAUUCAUGGACAACAUAUUGGAGGAAGGUGACCUGCUUUACAUCCCACCAAAAUGGUGGCAUUACGUGAGAUCUCUUUCUACCAGUUUCUCUGUUAGCUUUUGGUGGCGCACGUCAAUUGUUCCUUCAUAGGGUUCAUGAUUUUAUUGUUUGGACCAUCUAUGAUGUUUCUAUCGUCAGGUGGUAGAAAGUUUUAGAGAAAAACUUAAUUGAACCCAUGUUUCAUGAUCCCCUAUUUGUGUGGGUAGCGUUGCUACAUUGGGUGUAUAUCAUUAUUUUUGUGACAAUGAUUUAGAUAUUUGACUGCUAGCGUACAAUUUACUAGCGGGUACUAGUGUGUUAUUGUUCUUACUCCUUCCGUUGCUAUGUACAUGGUGCACAUACGUUUUGAGGUUCAA